This 483-nucleotide ribosomal RNA is filed under the name uncultured bacterium. RNAcentral describes it as "bacterial SSU rRNA". It matches the Rfam family "Bacterial small subunit ribosomal RNA", at positions 19 to 518 of the family's 1533-position model. The record is from RNAcentral.
AUGGCUCAGGACGAACGCUGGCGGCGUGCUUAACACAUGCAAGUCGAGCGGAGAAUAUAGCAAUAUAUUCUUAGCGGCGGACGGGUGAGUAACGCGUGGGCAAUCUGCCUCAUACAGGGGGAUAACACUGGGAAACUAGUGCUAAUACCGCAUAAAAUAGUGAAGUGGCAUCACUUUACUAUCAAAGGAGCAAUCCGGGUGUGAGAUGAGCCCGCGUCCGAUUAGCUAGUUGGAGGGGUAACGGCCCACCAAGGCGACGAUCGGUAGCCGAACUGAGAGGUUGAUCGGCCACAUUGGGACUGAGACACGGCCCAGACUCCUACGGGAGGCAGCAGUGGGGAAUAUUGCGCAAAGUGGGGGAAACCCUGACGCAGCAACGCCGCGUGAAGGAUGAAGGUUUUCGGAUUGUAAACUUCUUUGAUUGGGGACGAUAAUGACGGUACCCAAAAAACAAGCCACGGCUAACUACGUGCCAGCCGCAGC